GAUGAACGCUAGCUACAGGCUUAACACAUGCAAGUCGCGGGGCAGCAUGGGGGUUGCUUGCAAUCCCCGAUGGCGACCGGCGCACGGGUGAGUAACGCGUAUUCAACCUGCCCUUCACCACGGGAUAACCCGGCGAAAGUCGGACUAAUACCGUAUGUUGUCCAUUGACGGCAUCCGAUUUGGACGAAAGGCUUGGCGGUGAGGGAUGGGGAUGCGUCCGAUUAGCCAGACGGCGGGGUAACGGCCCACCGUGGCUACGAUCGGUAGGGGUUCUGAGAGGAAGGUCCCCCACACUGGAACUGAGACACGGUCCAGGCUCCUACGGGAGGCAGCAGUGAGGAAUAUUGGUCAAUGGGCGUAAGCCUGAACCAGCCAAGUAGCGUGCAGGAUGACGGCCCUAUGGGUUGUAAACUGCUUUUAUGCGGGGAUAAAGUGGCCCACGUGUGGGCUUUUGCAGGUACCGCAUGAAUAAGGACCGGCUAAUUCCGUG
Molecule: ribosomal RNA, 490 nt
Filed under: uncultured bacterium
Lineage: Bacteria
Description: partial 16S ribosomal RNA
Rfam family: Bacterial small subunit ribosomal RNA
Source: RNAcentral